GAUGAAGAACGUAGCGAAAUGCGAUACGUAAUGUGAAUUGCAGAAUUCAGUGAAUCAUCGAGUCUUUGAACGCACAUUGCGCCCCCUGGUAUUCCGGGGGGCAUGCCUGUCCGAGCGUCAUUGCUGCCCUCAAGCACGGCUUGUGUGUUGGGCCUCCGUCCUCCUCCCGGGGGACGGGCCCAAAAGGCAGCGGCGGCACCGCGUCCGGUCCUCGAGCGUAUGGGGCUUCGUCACCCGCUCUUGUAGGCCCGGCCGGCGCUUGCCGACACAUCAAUCUUUUUUCCAGGUUGACCUCGGAUCAGGUAGGGAUACCCGCUGAACUUAAGCAUAUCAAUAAGCGGAGGA
Molecule: unclassified non-coding RNA, 345 nt
Filed under: soil metagenome
Description: partial contains 5.8S ribosomal RNA, internal transcribed spacer 2, and large subunit ribosomal RNA
Rfam family: 5.8S ribosomal RNA (bases 1-120)
Source: RNAcentral